AGAGUUUGAUCCUGGCUCAGGAUGAACGCUAGCUACAGGCUUAACACAUGCAAGUCGAGGGGCAGCGGGACUGAAGCUUGCUUCAAUUGCCGGCGACCGGCGCACGGGUGAGUAACGCGUAUCCAACCUUCCGUACACUCAGGGAUAGCCUUUCGAAAGAAGAUUAAUACCUGAUGGUAUGAUGAAAUUGCAUGAUAGCAUCAUUAAAGAUUUAUCGGUGUACGAUGGGGAUGCGUUCCAUUAGGUAGUAGGCGGGGUAACGGCCACCUAGCCUACGAUGGAUAGGGGUUCUGAGAGGAAGGUCCCCCANAUUGGAACUGAGACACGGUCCAAACUGCUACGGGAGGCA
This 349-nucleotide ribosomal RNA is filed under the name uncultured bacterium. RNAcentral's name for it is "bacterial SSU rRNA". It matches the Rfam family "Bacterial small subunit ribosomal RNA", at positions 8 to 350 of the family's 1533-position model. The record is from RNAcentral.